Long non-coding RNA from Bufo bufo (common toad), 173 nucleotides. RefSeq lists it as uncharacterized. The transcript has 3 exons. The record is from RefSeq and is a predicted model, not a curated record. Lineage: Eukaryota; Metazoa; Chordata; Amphibia; Anura; Bufonidae.
AUUAACUUUAUAUAACUGUUCCUUUAAUUAGUGACCAAGCACAUUUUUGAAAAAUUGCAUUCCAAGAGCUAGAACUUUUUUGUUUUUUCAUAAAUGUACUUGUAGGAGGUCUUAUUUUUUGCAGGACAAGUUAUAGUUUUUAAUACACCAUUUUAAGUACAUGUAAUAAUUGA